AGUGAACGCUGGCGGUAGGCCUAACACAUGCAAGUCGAGCGGCAGCACAGUAAGAGCUUGCUCUUACGGGUGGCGAGUGGCGGACGGGUGAGGAAUACAUCGGAAUCUACUUUUUCGUGGGGGAUAACGUAGGGAAACUUACGCUAAUACCGCAUACGACCUACGGGUGAAAGCAGGGGAUCUUCGGACCUUGCGCGAUUGAAUGAGCCGAUGUCGGAUUAGCGAGUUGGCGGGGUAAAGGCCCACCAAGGCGACGAUCCGUAGCUGGUCUGAGAGGAUGAUCCGCCACACUGGAACUGAGACACGGUCCAGACUCCUACGGGAGGACGCAGUGGGGAAUAUUGGACAAUGGGCGAAAGCCUGAUCCAGCCAUACCGCGUGGGUGCAGAAGGACUUCGGGUUGUAAAGCCCUUUUGUUGGGAAAGAAAAGCAGCAGGUUAAUACCCCGCUGUUCUGACGGUACCCAAAGAAUAAGCACCGGCUAACUUCGUG
Molecule: ribosomal RNA, 492 nt
Filed under: uncultured bacterium
Lineage: Bacteria
Description: partial 16S ribosomal RNA
Rfam family: Bacterial small subunit ribosomal RNA
Source: RNAcentral